Long non-coding RNA from Humulus lupulus (European hop), 2773 nucleotides. RefSeq lists it as uncharacterized. The record is from RefSeq and is a predicted model, not a curated record. NCBI's taxonomy places the organism in Eukaryota, Viridiplantae, Streptophyta, Magnoliopsida, Rosales, Cannabaceae. The transcript is spliced from 2 exons.
GUCUCAUAAUUUUGCCAAGAGUCCCACAUUGCUCAGAAAACAAUUACUACAUACGAUUAUAUACUCUAACAUCAGAAGGAAAGCUUGUCCCUUCGGGGACAUCCGAUAAAAUUGGAACGAUACAGAGAAGAUUAGCAUGGCCCCUGCGCAAGGAUGACACGCACAAAUCGAGAAAUGGUCCAAAUUUUUUUUUUCAAUUCUGUCAUGAUUUUCCUUGUGAUUUCAUUAAGUUCUUUCUCCAGUAAUGGAUGUGAGAUUCUGACUGGUUGAAUUUUGGUUAUCUGAAGAUGUCAUCUUCUCAAGCUUCAGUUUUUUUUUAUUCAUUUUGGUAUUCUAGUAGUGAUUUUAUUUCUGCUAUGUUUUUUGGUAUCUGAAAAGAAAGUGCGUAUGAAAAUGCUGCACACCAGGCGUUUGAUGAUUAUUCUCAAAGAAUCUAAAUUAUUUUUAGGAUUUGGGAUUUGAUUUUAAAUUGUGGGUACAUAUUGUAUUUUUGCUGCAGUGGUUUUCCUCCUGUGUUGUUGAGCCAAUAUGAUGGCCUCGAAUUCUUUGCGUAAACUAUUGAAGGUAAGUUUUUCGAAAGAUUAUGAAUAUUUUCGUGUCCUAAUUUUUUUGUAGCAUUUCUUACAAUUUGUUCUCUGAGGAAAUUUAUUGUUUUAUGUAUUGAGAAUUUGUGCUUAGACUUCUUCAAUUUAUUGACACUUGGUGUGGUACAUACGAGAAUGACUGAUCAAAACGCUCUCUCAUGAAUUUUUGAGUCCACACUCGGAAGCUUCCUUCCACUCCAGUCCCAAUCAUCUCUGAUCCCCGAUUUCGGGAUAGCUCCGGCGAGUCUCCGAAAAUCUCUGUUGCUGGAAGACGACAACACCUUUUUCACCACUGCCCUUUACUGUAACGAGAUUGUAUAACUCUUAUUUCUCUGUGCUGUGUUGUGCUGUGCUGUCUUUCUUUUGUGUUGACUAGCUGAUUUUGUGGGGGUGUUUAAGAUUGGUGGGAAAAGGCCAUGGGUGAGCCUUCUUCGUUAGUUUUUUAAUGAAGUUUUUGUUUUGUUUUUCUUUUAUAUAUUUGUUAAGCAUGUUGAAUCUUGAUAUUACUUUUUAGCAAUUUAUUAAGUUUAUAUAUAUAAAGAAAACAAAUUGUGUUGCUAUAUGUACAAUGAUUUUUUUAUAUAAAUAGAUAUAUAUAAUUCCCAUUUGGUGGAUUCAAAGAGAGCAAGUUAUGGAAAGGGGUUUUUACAGGUAAAAUUAGUAUUCACACACUCAUUUUCCUUUUUAGCAUUGUUUUUUUUCAGUAAAGUGGUUAAAUUUGUGGAUAUUUAAAUGGUUAGUGAAUAAAUUGUGAGAUUGUUGAGAGAUUUUCUGUUAUGAUUUGUUAGAGUGCAAUUAUGCGUGCAUUUAUUAUUUCUGGAUUUCAGAUUUCAUCAUGCUCAAUUAGUAUUUAAAUCAAUAUCGAUGGUAUGCAAUCAUUUAUUGCAUUCCUAACUGAAUAGAGUCUCAUUAGAAUAAUUUUUUUUUUUAAAAAAAAAGUCAUAUUUUUUAAAACUUUAUUAAAAAGACUCAUAUAAAAUAUAAUUUCCUCAAUUAUCGUAAAAAAAAGUGGAAACUUUGAUAAUUAUCCUUAGAAUAUAUCUGUUUUUUUUGCUACAAUUUCAAUUUGUAUUAGUAUUAAUGUUAUGUACAUAUGUAUUUUUUUUGUUACUAUUAGAAGAGUUUUAUAGCGAACCAAAAUUGGUAGAUUUGGAAUCAUUUAUGGGGUAAAUAUUUGACCUUUUAAUUUUAGAAACUAGAAAUAAAAUGAGAUAUUUUAUUUUCUUUAAUAUUUUUGAACGUGUAAUUAGAUUACCAUUUUCCUAUAUCAUUUACAUUCUUUUCUUAGCUGUGAGUUAUUACUUACCUAUUCUCAUAUAUGAAAAUAAAAUAAUUUUGUCUUCGUUGUUACUCAUUUAUUUUUAAUAGAGAGAGGUAUUGAGUUUUUGUUUUUAUUUUUAUUUAAUGGAAAAUUGGGUGGGAAUUCUAUUAUAUCUAGUAUUAUCUGAAAUUUGAGGCUCAACUAAUUAACUAGUUAUUAAUUAAUGUAAAAUUUCUUCAUCUUUUACAGAUUUUAAGUGUGUGAAGUAGGAAUUAAGAUAAUGAUAUAGUCAUUAAGUGUCAUUUUUGUUCUUCAAUCUUUCACAUGUGUCUCACUCUUUCUAUUAACCUCUUUCAUGCUUUGACAACUUUUCAGGUAAUUAAGAAAAUUAAUGAAAUCCCAAAAAAAAAGGAUUGCUCAACUCUUUGAAGCAAGAGGUGUAAUAAUUAAAGUAGUAUUGUGAUUAAGCUCUUCAAAAUUGUAGUAUAUAGCAAUCCUCCUUUUUGGUGUUAAUUUUAGCAAAGAAAGAAGGAGAUUAUGAAUAAAGACUUAGCCUUAGUUAUAGUGUUAGUCUUAACAAUUUUUGCAAGUGCGUGUCUUUUUUGGUUGAUGUGGCAUUAUAGAGUGCGAGUUCGAAAUAUUAACUAUUUCUUCAACCUCCGGAAAGAAGUGGCUAAUGAUGUUGCCGAAGAUGAUCUUCAACAUAAUCAUCAUAUUAUAGAGUUGGCGAUUCGUAAUAUGCACAAUAAUGUUAAUGUAACAACUACUAAUCCGAUUCAAAAAGAGGAUGAGAUAGCAAUGAGACGCGGAAUUUGGGUACAUGAAAUGCAUGAUACAUAUUUAAAUUUUUCUUAAUUAUUUUAUUUUGGUAAUGUGAAAUUGUGUUUGAACUAUAUACAUUAAGUGUGAUCAUAUUAAUUUUUUGGUA